This 1122-nucleotide ribosomal RNA is filed under the name Triticum aestivum (bread wheat). RNAcentral describes it as "partial small subunit ribosomal RNA". Lineage: Eukaryota; Viridiplantae; Streptophyta; Magnoliopsida; Poales; Poaceae. The record is from RNAcentral.
AUGGCAGAUCCAAGCAAGGAGAAGUCAGGGGAUAGUAGUGUGGAUAAGUUAUAUGAAAUUUUUAGCAAAGUAUUUGAGCAGCAACAACAACUCAAAUUGGUUCCUGAAGCAGUCAAGUAUGCGCUUGAGCCUAAUCCGGUAAAGUUGGCUGGACCGGGCAAUUACAUUAGUUGGGCACGACAUGCUCAGUUAAUCCUGAGUUCUCAUGGUUACGAAGAAUUACUUAGUGCUGAUGAAAGUGGCACUAGCACAAAACAGAUCAAUGACAGAGUGUUGGUCUGGUUAUUAGGAAGCAUGGAACCAUCAAUUCGAGAGCAAGUUGAGACUAUGACCACUGUAUCUGAAGUGUGGAGAGCUUUGGAGAAGCAAUUCUCAGGAAAAUCAAAUAAGAUGCAGGCUACUCGCAUCAUGCAGGAGUUGACUCACUUAAAGCAAGGCUCAAAAUCAGUGACUGAGUAUGCUGGUGAGAUAAAGAGAUUGUACAGGGAGUUGCAUUAUUACCAUCCAUUUCAACCUGUUGACAAGAAUGACAUGGCUAUUCACCAUACCUGGUUUGAACCAUUUGUGGGCAAGCUCUUCCUUGAUGGCCUGAAUCAGGAAUUUGACCUCCGUCGUCAGCUAAUAUUCUCCAAAACUGAAUGGCUAAGCCUUGACGAUAUCAUCUCUAGUGUGAUUGAGGAGGAGACUCGUCUUAUUCAACCCAAGGAGCGUGGUCAGGAAAAUUCAGAUGCACGUGCAGCCCUAUCCAUACAAGCUCGUCAUGCUCCAAGGCCGUUUGGUAAAAUAGAUAAAAGCAAACUAUUUUGCAACCAUUGCAAAAGGACAGGACACGCAAAGGAUAUGUGUUUUGAGCUGCAUGGCUAUCCAUCUUGGUGGGAAAAAGGGAAGUCUCGGCCAGGGGGAGUUCAGGGAGCAAGUAAAAGACAUGCUAAUCUCACUACAUCCACCAGUGAGCUGCCAGUGGUAGAUGUGCGAGCUCUUGAGGAUUUCACUUCCAAGCUUAGACUCUCAGAAGGCUCCUCUUCCUCUCAAGGUUCAUCUAAAGUUGAGUCUAGCCUUCAUGUCACUUCUGACCAAGGAGAUAGACACAGGGAGAUUGUUGGCGACUGGGACCGUGCAUGA